Molecule: long non-coding RNA, 222 nt
Filed under: Elaeis guineensis (African oil palm)
Lineage: Eukaryota; Viridiplantae; Streptophyta; Magnoliopsida; Arecales; Arecaceae
Description: long non-coding RNA (EGUI_LNC069678)
Source: RNAcentral
UGGGUAAUCGGGCAUCAGAAUUCAUCGAUAUGUAACCCUGAUCGAAGAGUCCCAAACCAGUGGGACUCUUGACCCCGGUACCCAAAGUGUGUGGGACUCGUGAUCAGAGAAUCUUGAUUGUCGAUCAUAGAGUCUCAGAUACAUAGGACUCAUAGUCCAUGAGCAUUAGGACUCUUCAUCAGCCAUCAGAUCAGAUAGGAACCUCUAAUGUGUGUGACCCCG